Molecule: non-coding RNA, 199 nt
Organism: Oryza glumipatula
Lineage: Eukaryota; Viridiplantae; Streptophyta; Magnoliopsida; Poales; Poaceae
Source: Rfam
AAUAAGUACUGUUUUAGCUCUAUUCAUGUUCAACGUUUCACCAUUCGUCUUAUUUGGAAAAAGUUUAUGAUUAGUAUUUUUAUUGUUAUUAGAUAAUAAAAUAUGAAUAGUACUUUAUGUAUAACUAAUUUUUUAAAUAUUUUUUAAAUAAGACGGAUGGUCAAACCGCUAAACACGGAUAUUUAUGGCUGCAUUUAUU